This is a long non-coding RNA of Perca fluviatilis (European perch), 737 nucleotides long. RefSeq lists it as uncharacterized. Lineage: Eukaryota; Metazoa; Chordata; Actinopteri; Perciformes; Percidae. The record is from RefSeq and is a predicted model, not a curated record. The transcript has 3 exons.
GAUCGAUUCUGCGCAGACCUGGCUCAUCUCAAACGAGCCUAAAAUGUUUGCUGGGAAAAAGGUCCAUACAUCCAAACAAAUGUUUGUUGUGAUGAAAUGAGAUACAAUUACAACACUGGCAUUGUCUGUUAAAGUACCAAAGUAGUUGUCAUUCAGCCUGUGUCUUUGGACAAUAGGGCACUGUAGUUGCAUUCCUGAGAGGAAAAACUGUGUACUCGGAGCUGGACUGUUGGAUUAUGGACACUGAGAGAAUACUGAAUACAUUGUUUACGCCUCACGAAGUCUUUCAGUCACCACAAGACUCAACUUCCAUUUUAUAUAACAGCUUUAGCAAAGGAGCAGUUUGGGGAUGACUCAGAGGGACAUCCAGCUGAGCCCCACCCACCUCAAAACAGUGAAGAAAAGUUACGAAAACUCUGAGAGAGGGAUUACACGUCUUUCUUGGUCUACAUCCUAGAGCCUCUGCUGGGACUGGAGCCGCCACCCACCACAGGACCUCAGCUGCUCCGGGGCUACCAGCAUGGCUCCUAUGUGGGUUUAUAAAUGAUCCGGGACCAGGCGCCAUGCAGUGCCACCCCCCGAGCAGACCCACAAAACACCCCUGGUAAGUACUCACAGCAUUAAAUGCUACUGUUACACCACACAACUGCUAGUCCCUGUCUGAAAUGAACUGUAAACUACAGCGAUCCUGAAGCAUCAGCUAAUUAUUACAGUGAGAUCGCUACGGAGCAGAGUUU